UACGAAGGGGGCUAGCGUUGUUCGGAAUCACUGGGCGUAAAGGGCGCGUAGGCGGCCGAUCAAGUCGGGGGUGAAAGCCUGUGGCUCAACCACAGAAUUGCCUUCGAUACUGUUUGGCUUGAGACCGGAAGAGGUAAGUGGAACUGCGGGUGUAGAGGUGAAAUUCGUAGAUAUUCGCAAGAACACCAGUGGCGAAGGCGGCUUACUGGUCUGGUUCUGACGCUGAGGCGCGAAAGCGUGGGGAGCAAACAGG
This 253-nucleotide ribosomal RNA is filed under the name uncultured bacterium. RNAcentral describes it as "partial 16S ribosomal RNA". It matches the Rfam family "Bacterial small subunit ribosomal RNA", at positions 524 to 776 of the family's 1533-position model. The record is from RNAcentral.